This is a long non-coding RNA of Marmota monax (woodchuck), 823 nucleotides long. RefSeq lists it as uncharacterized. NCBI's taxonomy places the organism in Eukaryota, Metazoa, Chordata, Mammalia, Rodentia, Sciuridae. The transcript is spliced from 3 exons. The record is from RefSeq and is a predicted model, not a curated record.
GAAGAGACACCAAGCUCUGGCCACCGUCCACACACAGAGGGUGGCCACACAGAGAGGCGGAGCGAGGUGUGAACAGAGGGGAGAAUCGGGCUCCAGAGUCUGGAUGGGCACCUAUGAACGACGGGCUGAGGUUCGCCAGAAGGAAGAGGGCAGAGGCAUUGCAUCAUGAACUUGACCCGCUCGGCGUCCACUGGUUCCCAGGGAUUCAGCAUCUGAAUCUGAAGCCUGCGGGAGAGCCCCUCCCAGCCAACACCAUGAAAACAUGACCAAGGAAGUGGCGCCCUGACCUUCAGGCGGACCCAGCUCAAGACGGUGGCUGGGGCUGCCACCACCUGAGCUGUGCCAACCACAGAGCCACCUGGGAACCAAAGAGCUACUGGCUACUUUCGGAAGACGGUAUUUGGUGAUCAUCCUUCUUCAACAGACACAUCACCAUCAUGAGAGCCUUACCUUCUACUGAAUCCCCAGCACUCAGAACAGUGUCUAGCAACAGCAGGUACUCAAUAAACAUUUGAUGAAUUAACAAAAAUAAAUGAAUUCCCUCUGCACACGAUCAAACAAGUGCUAUCUGUGCAAACCCACGUGAAUUAGGUGAAGUCCAACUCUACAGCAGCUGCUAGUUCUUAAGAGAGGGAGACCAGUAAAGAAUCACCCAUAGGGCUGGGAGUGUGGCUCAGCGGUAGAGCGCUCGCCUAGCACGGGCAGAACCCGGGUUCGAUUCUCAGCACUACAUAAAAAUAAAGGCAUUGUGUUUAAAAAAAAAAAAAAAGAAAAGAAUCACCCAUAAAGCUGGGCACAGUGACACACACAUGUAAUCCUAGCA